This 2118-nucleotide small RNA is filed under the name Rattus norvegicus (Norway rat). RNAcentral describes it as "uncharacterized LOC102554026". The record is from RNAcentral. Lineage: Eukaryota; Metazoa; Chordata; Mammalia; Rodentia; Muridae.
ACAUUUACCCAAUCGUUCGGAGGAACCAUUUCUCCUUUGAUCUACUGUCACGAGCCUUUCGCUGGAAUUUGCUCCAAAAGAGACAUUUUUAUUGGCUUUUGUUUCCCUUUAAAUAGGUUAUAGCAUUUUUUUUGUCCCCUAAAUGAAGACCAGAAGCCCCCACGCAAGAUGAAGAGUCCUUACAAUGUUGGGAAAGCAAAGAAAAGGGGUUAUCUCUUGCAGACCCUUCCCCCAUGCUUGGGAGAGACAUUGGGACCAAAUCACCAUUUGCACAAAAGACUAGAAAUUUGUAAUUGUGGAUAACAAUUUGCAAACAGAACUGGGCCUUCUCACCCCUACCCCCUGCUCUGAGAAGGGCAGUAUGAGUAUUUUAACUGGCCGUACAGUGUCUUCCUGUGCAGACCAAAGAAGGCCUCAGGGAGGUGAUGUGUGUCUGCUGCCAACACAGCUUUAUCCGUUUUCAUGGCCGAGUCUUACUCUACCGUGUAGAGCAUGUCUGUUCAUCUUCUGUGGUUGACUUGUUGCCCCUGUCUGUGGCUGCUAUGAAAUGUACUGCUGUGAACCUUGUGGACCUCGAUGGAGAAGUUAUCUACCUGAAACCCAUUGUGACUGGAUUUGGGGGACACAUGGUCAUUAUACAGUUAACUUUUUGAGGAUUCCAAGGAUCCACUUAUGAUGGAGAAAAAUCAGAGAAAAAUGUAAUGUCUGGUCUUCUGCAGUAGCUGCUUAUGAAGAUGAAUUUGUGUGUCCUGCCAGCUCCGAACCUUCCUCCCCCCAGACGUACCCUUCAAAGCACGGGAUCCUGCUUGGCUCUCUACAGAACUGAGGCUGUCACAGGGAACUCACCUCUGAGGCAGCAGUGACAGUCACAUGAAGGGGUUCCAGAGAGGCUAAGGGACAUCCUCAGAAGGCUGGGGACUUCUCUGAGCCUCAUUGUCUGCAGAACUUGCUAAAAAACCAAAAUGAAACAAAGAAAAACAAAACCAAGUUGGGUAGAUGGUGCUGUUCCUUCCCCGCUAGAGCAGUGUGUCCUAUAGACGUGGUUUGAGGGGACCACUCUGGGAGGAUCACACUGGGAGGACUACCACACUGGGAGGAUCACUCUGGGAGGACUACACUGGGAGGAUCACUCUGGGAGGAUCACACUGGGAGGAUCACCACACUGGGAGGAUCACUCUGGGAGGACUACACUGGGAGGAUCACCCUGGGAGGAUCACCCUGGGAGGACCACCACACUGGGAGGACCACUCUGGGAGGAUCACACUGGGAGGAUCACCACACUGGGAGGACCACUCUGGGAGGAUCACACUGAGAGGACCAGCACACUGGGAGGACCACUCUGGGAGGAUCACACUGAGAGGACCAGCACACUGGGAGGAUCACUCUGGGAGGAUCACACUGAGAGGACCAGCACACUGGGAGGAUCACUCUGGGAGGAUCACACUGAGAGGACCAGCACACUGGGAGGAUCACUCUGGGAGGAUCACCCUGGGAGGAUCACCCUGGGAGGACUACCACACUGGGAGGACCACUCUGGGAGGAUCACACUGGGAGGAUCACCACACUGGGAGGACCACUCUGGGAGGAUCACACUGAGAGGACCAGCACACUGGGAGGAUCACUCUGGGAGGACCACACUGCUGCCAUGUAUUUGGAUAAGGGAAGUGGGAUCCUGUUGAGCUGGGAUGAGAUGCAGGAUUUCCAGGUCCUGUCCUUGCUUCUGUCCAGACACAAUCUCAAGUGUUGUGGGAAGCAUCCUUGGUGAGUGGAACUCCUGUGGGGCUGUGCACAAACAACUCGAGGUCUCACACACACGUCAACACUGUAGUCGCCGCAGAACUUCAGUGUUGGUUUAACUUGGGGAACACCCAGGCCGCUGACUCACGGGCCCUUUCACUAGGGCCUCACUUGAGAAUCUCCCUCCUGAGGGCCGCUUGUGAAGACAACUUUGUCUUCAUCUGUGCUGGAUGAAGACAGGAAUUUAGUCUGAUAUUUAAAAUAAUAUAUUCUGCAAUCUCUUCUAUUAAUCUGUUUUAUUAAAAUCAACGUUUUAUAAACUGUCACAUUCAUUACUUUUUAGCUAUAUCAAUCAAGGUAAAAAAUUAAUUUUUAAAAAGA